GGGGAAUCUUCCGCAAUGGGCGAAAGCCUGACGGAGCAACGCCGCGUGAGUGAAGACGGCCUUCGGGUUGUAAAGCUCUGUUAUACGGGACGAAUAGUCUUGUGGUUAAUACCCAUGAGAAGUGACGGUACCGUAAGAGAAAGCCACGGCUAACUACGUGCCAGCAGCCGCGGUAAUACGUAGGUGGCAAGCGUUGUCCGGAAUUAUUGGGCGUAAAGGGCGCGCAGGCGGCUUCUUAAGUCUGUCUUAAAAGUGCGGGGCUUAACCCCGUGAUGGGAUGGAAACUGGGAAGCUCAGAGUAUCGGAGAGGAAAGCGGAAUUCCUAGUGUAGCGGUGAAAUGCGUAGAUAUUAGGAAGAACACCAGUGGCGAAGGCGACUUUCUGGACGAAAACUGACGCUGAGGCGCGAAAGCCAGGGGAGCGAACGGGAUUAGAUACCCCGGUAGUCCUGGCCGUAAACGAUGGGUACUAGGUGUAGGAGGUAUCGACCCCUUCUGUGCCGGAGUUAACGCAAUAAGUACCCCGCCUGGGGAGUACGACCGCAAGGUUG
This 550-nucleotide ribosomal RNA is filed under the name uncultured bacterium. RNAcentral describes it as "bacterial SSU rRNA". It matches the Rfam family "Bacterial small subunit ribosomal RNA", at positions 356 to 896 of the family's 1533-position model. The record is from RNAcentral.